This 253-nucleotide ribosomal RNA is filed under the name uncultured bacterium. RNAcentral's name for it is "partial 16S ribosomal RNA". It matches the Rfam family "Bacterial small subunit ribosomal RNA", at positions 524 to 776 of the family's 1533-position model. The record is from RNAcentral.
UACAGAGGUCUCAACCGUUGUUCGGAUUCAUUGGGCGUAAAGGGUGCGUAGGCGGUCGCGUAAGUCAGGUGUGAAAUCCCGGGGCUCAACCCCGGAACUGCACUUGAUACUGCGUGGCUAGGGUACUGGAGAGGAGACUGGAAUUUACGGUGUAGCAGUGGAAUGCGUAGAUAUCGUAAGGAAGACCAGUGGCGAAGGCGAGUCUCUGGACAGUUACCGACGCUGAGGCACGAAGGCCAGGGGAGCAAACGGG